GUGAACGCUGGCGGCAGGCCUAACACAUGCAAGUCGAGCGGCAGCGCGGGGGCAACCUUGGCGGCGAGCGGCGGACGGGUGAGGAAUUCGUCGGAAUCUGCCUUUUUGUGGGGGAUAACGUAGGGAAACUUACGCUAAUACCGCAUACGACCUACGGGUGAAAGUGGGGGACCUUCGGGCCUCACGCAGAAAGAUGAGCCGACGACCGAUUAGCUAGUUGGUGGGGUAAAGGCCCACCAAGGCGACGAUCGGUAGCUG
RNAcentral lists this ribosomal RNA (258 nucleotides) under uncultured bacterium. Its description in RNAcentral is "partial 16S ribosomal RNA". It matches the Rfam family "Bacterial small subunit ribosomal RNA", at positions 29 to 289 of the family's 1533-position model. The record is from RNAcentral.